This 247-nucleotide ribosomal RNA is filed under the name uncultured Actinomycetales bacterium. RNAcentral's name for it is "partial 16S ribosomal RNA". It matches the Rfam family "Bacterial small subunit ribosomal RNA", at positions 86 to 334 of the family's 1533-position model. The record is from RNAcentral. Lineage: Bacteria; Bacillati; Actinomycetota; Actinomycetes; Actinomycetales.
GGUGCUCGAGUGGUGAACGGGUGAGUAACACGUGAGUAACCUGCCCUUGACUUUGGGAUAACUUCAGGAAACUGGGGCUAAUACCGGAUAGGAGCUCCUGCUGCAUGGUGGGGGUUGGAAAGUUUCGGCGGUUGGGGAUGGACUCGCGGCUUAUCAGCUUGUUGGUGGGGUAGUGGCUUACCAAGGCUUUGACGGGUAGCCGGCCUGAGAGGGUGACCGGCCACAUUGGGACUGAGAUACGGCCCAG